UUUAAAUCUAACUUGUACAAAGAUUGAAACGAGAUGUAAUUGGACAAUUUUAAUAUUUACUCAAGAAUAGAGUAGGCUAUGUUAAUACAAGGAAACGAUAACUUGCACAGUACAGUUGAAAGAAGGCAAUAUUAUUGUUUUACGGUACAAUUAUAAAUAAUAUCUAGAUUAAGUGAAAGAGAAACUUACGAAAAUAUGAAUUACUUCGAUUAAAGUAGUGUUCAAUGUAUAUACAGUUCAUGUGCUCAAAACUCUGAACAAAUUUGUUUCACUUGACCACCAGAAAACAUACAUCCUCGUCUCAACUAGUAUAAAUUUCGCACUUGGCUGCCUUACUCAGACCUUUUCUCAAAGUAUACUUGUAUGGCCAGUCCAUGAAAUACCACUUUUUCUUUCAUUGAUUUAUAAAUACAUUUAAGGACAUACCUGAUGGUUGAUUUCCAGUAGUUCCCCAUUCUACUAAAGGAAAAGUUUGAAAUAAUUAAUGAUCGAAGGUCAAUGAAAGUAAUGUGUUUAUUUGUCAUAAAAGGAAAAAUCUAUUCUUGGUACUGAACUUCGAAAAUGUAACCAGCAAAAUCUUUAAUAUAAAUGGUUUUCAGUUAUUGUGUCUUUCCUUUUUUCAUAAUUUUGGCCAAGCUAAACUACAGCUUGGAGGGAAGGUAUAUACUAAUUAAAAUGGUGAAAAAAAGAACCACAAGAAUGCUUUGAUUUUGCUCUGGGACAUAUUUAUUUAAAAAAAAUCUAUUUCAUACUAAGGAUACACAACAAAGUAAUUACUACUAUGUCACUGGUCGAAGUAUUUGGUAAUUAAGAUAAUGCAGAGUAAAAAAAGACAUAAAUAAAACUAUAAAACAUCAAAACGAAAUCACGUUUACACUGAAAUUCACUGAAUUACACUGUCUCAUUCACUCGUCGGUCGCCGUAGAUAUUUUCCAAUCGUGAUGUACUAGAUAUGCUUUCGUGUUCAGUCAAAGAGAAUAUUGUUAUUUGGAAAAUGAAACCACGUGUAUCCAUUAUAGGACUACCACAACAUUAGAUCAGCUGUUUUAUGUGACGUCAUCCACGUCACAACACGCGAGGUCAAAUUACCUGUUCAGACGACAAAUUCACAGCGGCGGGAAGUCACCGACUGUCUAUAAGCCUAUUCGAAUAAAAUUGCAGAUUGUAACGAAAUAAAAUAAGGUUUACUCAUUGCUGACAUUUCAGAUGACAUAUCAAAUAAGAGCUGAAGACUUGUAAUAGAUUAUCACACGUUAAUUGAGAGUACAGUGUACAUCAAUAAUUUGUAAAUCUAAUAUCAAUAUUAGAUCUAAUAUCCAUGGCAGAAUGUUGGAAAUACGAGAUGAUAAUAAUAGAUCUAUUCCAUUUCUGAAGAAAUGAGUAAUGUGUAUUUGAUUAUAUAUAUGCAUACACAAUUGGUUAUCAAUUAUCUUGUACAAUCACAGCGUGUACCGUGUACAUUAGACUCACGGAAAGUAUUAUUUCAGCAAACCAAUCACAGCGCCAUUAUCACGGUUUUCAUGAAAGGAAAAACAAAUCGAAAACGAACUUUACAGCACAUCGUAUCAAUAAGCGGUUGACCCAAAUACAAAAAGGUGACUGGGAACAUACUGGAAUGGUUGUUGAAAGGUUUGCAUGGCGCAUUUCACCAUCACGAAGCUACUUCUACAUCUAGAAAGCUAGCUGGUUACAGGCUGAAGUUGCUCUGCGCCCAAUCAACCUGGCACCGCUGGAGGACUUCAAACUUACGUUGACGACAUGACCAAAAGAUCUGCCAAAGCUAUGAAUUUAGCAGCAGCUUACAAAUAUGCACUUUCACACACCAUGCCCCAAUGUGGACAUGCUUGCUGGAGUAAAACUAAAGAACUGCCAGAAUUUAUCAGACUUCCACCAAAAUAUCUAACAGGCAAUUAUCGUGCUCAAAUUACAUUCGAAUAAACAUCAGCUUUAGCCCUGGACCAUAAGUACUUCACACAGCCAGUUUAUUUUUUCCUGAAGCAGCUAAACAGACAUUUUUAAACCAACGAAUGGAGCAUAGGGCUGGUUUCACCGCCCGGCUGUUUCAGCCAAUCUCAUUAUAAUCAGAUCUGAGUUCUUUGCUACCCCUGUGUGAAGCGGUACUAAAGAUCUGAUAUUAAUGAGAUUGGGAACCAACAAAGGGGAACCAAGAGCACAGUUUACGUCGGUAAUGUUUCGGCUGGACAACACGUUUGUCGGGUGAAUGUCCAGCAAAUGUUGGGAUCAGCAAACCUCGUGCACCGAGUAGGACUCACUUGACUUGAAUUGGAAACAGCUUCAUAUUACAGCUAUGCGAGUAUUUAACACCACCGCUUAGCGACCAUAUACAGUCGCAGGUGAUGCAAGAACGUAAUGUGAAUGUGCCAGUGAAGUUUUGACUAUGCCAAACAUACAUAAGAAGAUAAUUCAUUUUGAGCCAUUUCUGUGAAGAUCCGUGGUAGAAUAGAUCUUCAGCAACCCUUGCAUGCCGUAAGAAGCCACCAACGGAAUCGGGUGGUUAGGCUCGCUGACUUGGUUGAUGCAUGUCAUCUUAUCCCAAUUGCGUAGA
This is a long non-coding RNA of Haliotis rufescens (red abalone), 2566 nucleotides long. RefSeq lists it as uncharacterized. NCBI's taxonomy places the organism in Eukaryota, Metazoa, Mollusca, Gastropoda, Lepetellida, Haliotidae. The record is from RefSeq and is a predicted model, not a curated record. The transcript has 4 exons.